Molecule: ribosomal RNA, 497 nt
Filed under: uncultured bacterium
Lineage: Bacteria
Description: partial 16S ribosomal RNA
Rfam family: Bacterial small subunit ribosomal RNA
Source: RNAcentral
GAUGAACGCUGGCGGCGUGCCUAAUACAUGCAAGUCGAGCGAACGGACGAGAAGCUUGCUUCUCUGAUGUUAGCGGCGGACGGGUGAGUAACACGUGGAUAACCUACCUAUAAGACUGGGAUAACUUCGGGAAACCGGAUCUAAUACCGGAUAAUAUUUUGAACCGCAUGGUUCAAAAGUGAAAGACGGUCUUGCUGUCACUUAUAGAUGGAUCCGCGCUGCAUUAGCUAGUUGGUAAGGUAACGGCUUACCAAGGCAACGAUGCAUAGCCGACCUGAGAGGGUGAUCGGCCACACUGGAACUGAGACGCGGUCCAGACUCCUACGGGAGGCAGCAGUAGGGAAUCGUCCGCAAUGGGCGAAAGCCUGACGGAGCAACGCCGCGUGAGUGAUGAAGGUCUUCGGGUCGUAAAACUCUGUUAUUAGGGAAGAACAUAUGUGUAAGUAACUGUGCACAUCUUGACGGUACCUAAUAAGAAAGCCACGGCUAACUACGUG